ACCUCAAAUUAGGCAAGACAACGCCGUGAACUAAAGCAUUUCAGUAACGGCAGGAAAAGAAAAUAACAAUGAUUCCCUCAGUAACUGCGAGUGAAGUGGGAAAAGUCCAAUGUUGAAAGCAGCAUCUGUAAAAGGGUGUGGCAUUGUAACAUAUAGACCGAUCAUCGAGGUGUUUAGUUGUGCUAAAGUCGUUAAGAAUGGCGCACCAUAGAGGGUGAUAGUCCCGUAUAUGGUACAGCAUAAGCAUUGUGAAUGAUCGUGUCAUAGAGUCGGGCUGUUUGGGAAUGCAGUCUAAAGUGGGUGGUAAACUCUACCAAAGACUAAAUAUAGCUUCGAGACCGAUAGCGAACAAGUACCGUGAGGGAAAGUUGAAAAGCACUCUGAAAAGAAAGUGAAAAGUACGUGAAACCGUCAAUGGGGAAGCGGACAGUGUAAUCGAAGCAUCUAGCUGUUUGCGGUAAGUUUUACUACUUAUCGAUUAGCAGAAAGAUGCGCGCUAGACUGUUUAGUGGUUUACUGGUAGCGUGACGAGUUAUAGAGAUGAAUAUUUCCAUGAGGAUAUGUUCGCUUUAUAGUCGUCGUGGUCUAUUUUAGAGUAAAUUGUUAAACAUGUAUGUGUGAGUAAUAGUUAUGCUGGUGUGGGCGGGCAUUGUAGUUUGAUUGUAAUACAGUUAGAUGCAGUGUUCGUGCGUGUUAGUAUGGCUGUUGCCAAAACGAUAGUUGCACAUGUAUUCUAGCGAGAUAUGACACUUUCCGACCCGUCUUGAAACACGGACCAAGGAGGCUAACUUGUGCGCGAGUCGAGAAGUGGAGAAACUUUAUGGCGAAACGAAAGUGAAAUGUGAGAUCUUGUGUUUAACAGCAUAAGCGUAUCACAGGCCAGUUGAAGGGUUGCCUUCGAUUGAGUUGGAGCGUACAGGCUAGGACCCGAAAGGUGGUGACCUAUUCCUGAGGAGAGCGAAUUCAUUGGAAACAAUGAUGGAGGCUCGUAGCGAUUCUGACGUGCAAAUCGAUCGUCAAACUUGGGUAUAGGGGCGAAAGACUAAUCGAACCACCUAGUAGCUGGUUCCCUCCGAAAUAUCCCUCAGGAUCGCCGAAACUUAAGGCAGUUUCAUCGGGUAGAGCUAAUGAUUAGAGGAUUCGUGGGCUAUUUAUAGCCUCGACCUAUUCUCAAACUGCAAACCGGUGAUUACAUUAACGUUUUCUUAGUUGAAUUGUUAAUGGCUGAAUGUGUGAGUUUCGAGUGGGCCAUUUUUGGUAAGCAGAACUGGCGAUGCGGGAUGAACCGAGAGUCGGGUUAAAGUGCCUAAAUAGAGGCAGACGGAUACCACAAAAGGAGUUGAUGAAUUAUGACAGUAAGGCUGUGGUCCUGAAAGUAGACAUCAGCUAAGAAGUGUGCAACAACUUACUUACCGAAUUCAUCGGCCCUGAAAAUGGAUGGCGCUUAGCCUUUUACUGAUACCCGACCGUGGACGCGAGAAAUGAUUCGUUCAUGGGUAGGAGGGUGUUAUGGUUGCGAAGAAGCUUGCAUGUGAGUGUAAGUGGAGCAGCUAUAAGUACAGAUCUUGGUUUUAGUAGCAGCGUAUAGAAGUGAGAACCUUCUAGACCGAAGUGGAGAAGGGUUCCUCGUGAACAGCAGUUGGACGAGGGUUAGUCGGUCCUAAGCAGCAGCCUACAAGCUGAACCAUAGAAGACGUUUUGUAGUUAGUAUGCUUGCAUGCGAUACAUCGUCUUAGUCUGCGAAAGGGAAUCAGGUUAAUAUUCCUGAACCAAGCGUCGGAUAGUUGGUAUUGUUUCUGGUAGUAUCCGAGCGGGACUCGUGCUUGCGAGGUGCUAUCAGGGCAGUAUCAGCAAAGCGGUAACGCAAGCGAACUCGGAGAUGUUGUUGAUAGUUCUGGAAAGAGUUAUCUUUUCUGUUUAACCGAUUGAGCGAGCCUGGAGUAGAGUCAUUCGGAGAUAGGCUUGACAAUUGGGAAGAGCGCCGCAUUUUAGUGACGUCUGGAAUACUGUCAAUGAUCCGUGAAAAUCCGAGGGAGUGGUUAAUUUUCGCGCUUGGCCGUACCGAGAUCCGCAUCAGGUCUCCAAGGUGAAUAGCCUCUGGUUCUAGAAUAAUGUGGGUAAGGGAAGUCGGCAAAAUAGAUUCGUAACUUCGGGAAAAGGAUUGGCUCUAAGGAUUGGACUGUUUGGACCAGUAGAUACUGAUUGUGGUUCUUGUAUACGGCUUUUGAGAUGGGAGUGGGUUUCGGCUUACUUGCGUCUUGGAAGCUGUUAACGAGAUACCGUGGUCUUUGUCUGCUGGUUUGUAUCGAUGCAUUGUUGGCCGCGUGUCGGCAGUGUGUUGAUGCCUCGCAGGCAGUUGAUAUCAAUCAACUUAGAACUGUCACUGACUAGGGGAAUCCGACUGUUUAAUUAAAACAAAGCAUUGCGAUGGCUGGAAACGGUGUUGACGCAAUGUGAUUUCUGCCCAGUGCUC
Molecule: ribosomal RNA, 2473 nt
Filed under: Myxobolus ampullicapsulatus
Lineage: Eukaryota; Metazoa; Cnidaria; Myxozoa; Bivalvulida; Myxobolidae
Description: eukaryotic LSU rRNA
Rfam family: Eukaryotic large subunit ribosomal RNA
Source: RNAcentral